This 497-nucleotide ribosomal RNA is filed under the name uncultured bacterium. Its description in RNAcentral is "partial 16S ribosomal RNA". It matches the Rfam family "Bacterial small subunit ribosomal RNA", at positions 28 to 507 of the family's 1533-position model. The record is from RNAcentral.
GAUGAACGCUGGCGGCGUGCCUAAUACAUGCAAGUCGAGCGAACAGACGAGGAGCUUGCUCCUCUGACGUUAGCCGCGGACGGGUGAGUAACACGUGGAUCACCUACCUAUCUGACUGGGAUCACUUCGGGACACCGGAGCUAAUACCGGAUAAUAUCUUGAACCGCGUGGUUCAUUGGUAAAAGACGGUUUUGCUGUCACUUAUAGAUGGAUCUCCGCCGCAUUAUCUAGGUUGUAAGGUCACGGCUUACCAAGGCAACGAUGCGUAGCCGACCUGAGAGGGGGGUCGGCCACCCGAGAAGUGAGACAGGGUCAAGACGCCUGCGGGACGCAGCAGUAGGGAAUCGGCGGCAACGGGGGAAAGCAUGGCGGAGCAACGGCGAGUGAGAUAUGAAGGUCUUCGGAGCGUAAAACUCGGUUAUUAGGGAUGAACCAAUGUGGAAGUAACUAUGCACUGAGUGACGGUACCUAAUCAGAAAGCCACGGCUAACUACGUG